This 1229-nucleotide ribosomal RNA is filed under the name metagenome. RNAcentral describes it as "bacterial LSU rRNA". It matches the Rfam family "Bacterial large subunit ribosomal RNA", at positions 1224 to 2533 of the family's 2925-position model. The record is from RNAcentral.
UUGGGUAGGGGAGCGUUGUAUACGCGGUGAAACAGUAGCGCAAGCGGCUGUGGAGUGUAUAGAAGUGAGAAUGCCGGAAUGAGUAGCGCGAAUGCAGUGAGAAUCUGCAUGGCCGAAAGCCUCAGGUUUCUGGAGGAAGGUUCGUCCGCUCCAGGUUAGUCGGGAGCUAAGGUGAGGCCUAACGGCGUAGCCGAUGCACAGACGGUAGAGAUUCCGUCACCACCAAAAGAGUUAAACACAGGGACACAUAUGAAGUCUCGGAGCCGGGUGUUGGUUCCGGUAGCGAUCGAGGGAAGUUAGUACCGAAGUCUGAGAUGGAAGAUGGCGAGAAAAGCUGUGUGUAUUUCUGCGGUGCCCGUACCGCAAACCGACACAGGUAGGUAGGAAGAAGAUUCUAAGGCCAACGGGAGAAGGGUUGUUAAGGAACUCGGCAAAUUGACCCCGUAACUUCGGGAGAAGGGGUGCUCCAGAGAUGGAGCCGCAGAGAAUCGGCCCAAGCAACUGUUUACCAAAAACACAGGUUUGUGCUAAAUCGAAAGAUGACGUAUACGAGCUGACGCCUGCCCGGUGCUGGAAGGUUAAGAGGAGAUGUGCAAGCAUUGAAUCGAAGCCCCAGUGAACGGCGGCCGUAACUAUAACGGUCCUAAGGUAGCGAAAUUCCUUGUCAGGUAAGUUCUGACCCGCAUGAAAGGCGUAAUGAUUUGGGCACUGUCUCAACAGCCCGCCCGGCGAAAUUGUAGUACCGGUGAAGAUGCCGGUUACCCGCGACAAGACGGAAAGACCCCAUGGAGCUUUACUGUAGCCUAAUAUUGGGUUUCGAUGUUGCAUGCACAGGAUAGAUGGGACUCUUGGAAACGAUCGCUUUGGCGGUCGCGGAGAGGCCGUUGGGAUACCAUCCUUGCGAUAUUGGAAUUCUAACCUGCGCCUUUGAAUCAAGGCGGGGGACAUUGUUAGGUGGGCAGUUUGACUGGGGCGGUCGCCUCCUAAAGAGUAACGGAGGCGUUCAAAGGUUCGCUCAGCUUGAACGGAAAUCAAGCAAAAGAGUGCAAACGCAGAAGCGAGCCUAACUGCGAGACUGACGGGUCGAGCAGUAACGAAAGUUGGAGUUAGUGAUCCGGUGGUAUGUGAGUGGAAAUGCCAUCGCUCAACGGAUAAAAGUUACCCUGGGGAUAACAGGCUGAUCUCCCCCAAGAGUCCACAUCGACGGGGAGGUUUGGCACCUCGAUGUC